UACGUAGGGUGCAAGCGUUGCCCGGAUUUAUUGGGCGUAAAGAGCUCGUAGGCGGUGUGUCACGUCGGCCGUGAAAACCUGCAGCUUAACUGUGGGCGUGCGGUCGAUACGGGCAUCACUGGAGUUCGGCAGGGGAGACUGGAAUUCCUGGUGUAGCGGUGAAAUGCGCAGAUAUCAGGAGGAACACCGGUGGCGAAGGCGGGUCUCUGGGCCGAUACUGACGCUGAGGAGCGAAAGCGUGGGGAGCAAACAGG
RNAcentral lists this ribosomal RNA (254 nucleotides) under uncultured bacterium. RNAcentral's name for it is "partial 16S ribosomal RNA". It matches the Rfam family "Bacterial small subunit ribosomal RNA", at positions 524 to 776 of the family's 1533-position model. The record is from RNAcentral.